AGAGUUUGAUCAUGGCUCAGAGCGAACGCUGGCGGCAGGCCUAACACAUGCAAGUCGAACGGAUCCUUCGGGAUUAGUGGCGGACGGGUGAGUAACACGUGGGAACGUGCCCUUUGGUUCGGAACAACUCAGGGAAACUUGAGCUAAUACCGGAUAAGCCCUACGGGGGAAAGAUUUAUCGCCAUUGGAGCGGCCCGCGUCUGAUUAGCUAGUUGGUGAGGUAAAGGCUCACCAAGGCUACGAUCAGUAGCUGGUCUGAGAGGAUGAUCAGCCACAUUGGGACUGAGACACGGCCCAAACUCCUACGGGAGGCAGCAGUGGGGAAUCUUGCGCAAUGGGCGAAAGCCUGACGCAGCCAUGCCGCGUGAAUGAUGAAGGUCUUAGGAUUGUAAAAUUCUUUCAGCAGGGACGAUAAUGACGGUACCUGCAGAAGAAGCCCCGGCUAACUUCGUGCCAGCAGCCGCGGUAAUACGAAGGGGGCUAGCGUUGCUCGGAAUUACUGGGCGUAAAGGGCGCGUAGGCGGGUCGUUUAGUUAGAGGUGAAAGCCCAGGGCUCAACCCCGGAAUUGCCUUUAAUACUGGCGGCCUUGAGUAUGGCAGAGGUGUGUGGAACUCCGAGUGUAGAGGUGAAAUUCGUAGAUAUUCGGAAGAACACCAGUGGCGAAGGCGACACACUGGGCCAUUACUGACGCUGAGGCGCGAAAGCGUGGGGAGCAAACAGGAUUAGAUACCCUAGUAGUCC
RNAcentral lists this ribosomal RNA (742 nucleotides) under uncultured bacterium. Its description in RNAcentral is "bacterial SSU rRNA". It matches the Rfam family "Bacterial small subunit ribosomal RNA", at positions 8 to 796 of the family's 1533-position model. The record is from RNAcentral.